This 497-nucleotide ribosomal RNA is filed under the name uncultured bacterium. RNAcentral describes it as "partial 16S ribosomal RNA". It matches the Rfam family "Bacterial small subunit ribosomal RNA", at positions 28 to 507 of the family's 1533-position model. The record is from RNAcentral.
GAUGAACGCUGGCGGCGUGCCUAAUACAUGCAAGUCGAGCGAACAGACGAGGAGCUUGCUCCUCUGACGUUAGCGGCGGACGGGUGAGUAACACGUGGAUAACCUACCUAUAAGACUGGGAUAACUUCGGGAAACCGGAGCUAUUACCGGAUAAUAUAUUGAACCGCAUGGUUCAAUAGUGAAAGACGGUUUUGCUGUCACUUAUAGAUGGAUCCGCGCCGCAUUAGCUAGUUGGUAAGGUAACGGCUUACCAAGGCGACGAUGCGUAGCCGACCUGAGAGGGUGAUCGGCCACACUGGAACUGAGACACGGUCCAGACUCCUACGGGAGGCAGCAGUAGGGAAUCUUCCGCAAUGGGCGAAAGCCUGACGGAGCAACGCCGCGUGAGUGAUGAAGGUCUUCGGAUCGUAAAACUCUGUUAUUAGGGAAGAACAAAUGUGUAAGUAACUAUGCACGUCUUGACGGUACCUAAUCAGAAAGCCACGGCUAACUACGUA